Long non-coding RNA from Bubalus bubalis (water buffalo), 5811 nucleotides. RefSeq lists it as uncharacterized. The record is from RefSeq and is a predicted model, not a curated record. The transcript is spliced from 2 exons. Lineage: Eukaryota; Metazoa; Chordata; Mammalia; Artiodactyla; Bovidae.
UCGGGAAAAUCCCCUGGAGAAGGAAAUGACAACCUACCCCAGUUUUCUUGCCUGGGAAAUCCCAUGGACAGAGGAGCCUGGCGGGCUACAGUCCCUGGGGAAGCUGAGUCAGACACGACUAAAAUGCAAUGCAGUGCAACAGACAGGGACCCAAGCAUUGGGAGGGGAGAGAAAGGAGCUGAGAGAAGAGCUGGUGGGAGGUGGGGGGCGGGGGGCGUGGAGGUGGGCAGGGACAGGAAGCAGCCAGGGGAAGGAAAUAUCUAGGGGUAGAGACACAUGGAGUGCGUAUGGACUCCAAAUGUACACACAAACACCGCUUUCCACGGCUUCUCCUUGGAGCCUCUGUUAGGUCUCAGUUUUUCAGCUGGGCAUGCAAGACCAGGUCCCCAGCAGGGAUGCAGACAGAGCUGGUGUCCCUGGGGAAAAGUGUCCCCCUCCUCACAUCAUUUUCAUGUGUCACCCUGGGGUCAGUUUCCAGCUGGUAGCCUGGCAGAACCUUCCGGGCCAGUUGCUUACAGACUGGAUUCGAACUGCCCCUUAGGUAACUGAGAGACUGGUGUCUGCUUGCAGGAUGGGCCUGCGCCUCAUGUUUGUUUCAUGCUCUGUUUCAGCACGUUGAACACAGGUCAGGCUGGUGGGAAGUUAGUGCCCACCUGUCUACCCAGUUGUGAUGCUGCCAUGUUCGCUCCCAUGGGGUCAGAAGGAAUGAGGUCAGGGCUUGGAUCCAAGGCUUGUGCAGCUUGCAGAGUUCUUCCUGUUUGCUGCACCCAGAGUGUUCUCUAGGUGUAGCAUUGACUAGAUAUAGAUUUUCUGUCGGGGAAAGGAUGUCUAGCCUGCUGUUUCCUGAAACAAGAGUGUUGCAUUUUUAUGUCCUCUUUCCCUGUUUCCGGCAUCCUUGGCAGUAUUCUUAUGGCCAGUGCUUAGUUACAGCAGCAGGACUUGGCUAGGCUGUCAGAGACCAAGGCCUUUUUUGGAAAUGCUGUGUCCCUCUGCCUGCUUGCUGCCGCUUCUUUCUCUUCUUUCUCUCUCUUUUUCUGUUUCCCUUUCUUUUUCUUUCUCCAGUGCUUUCUUCAGUCAGAUGUGGAAAAUCACUUGAAUGUUGUGCUUUCUAUUAAGAUUAUCUUCCAAGAGAAAUUUGAGAAUUGACACUGGUAAAAUAGGUAAUCUCAGGACUUCAGAUGGUCUUGUCAUUUAUUUGAAUUAAGGUACUUAAACAUUUUGAUGCAGCUAUUGUCUGGAUUCUGAUAACUUAAGUCAUACAGUAAACAUUCAUGUAACUAAGGAUGUGAAACUGUCAUGAACUAAAUGUCAGAUUUGUCUGUGUCUUUAAAAUUGUCCCCAAGAAGGUGUGUUAUUCCUUAAGAAGUAGAUUUAACUAAAACAGAAGCGUAGGAAUUAUAGCAAAGUAAAUUUCAGUCUCACAAAACCUUGAAACGAGAUAAUCUGCAUUAUCUGAACAGUUUUAAGUUAACCAGACAUUCCCUUUUGGGGAAAACGACUUCUGCUUGAAACCUUCAGCUGCUUUUAAAGUAUAUAUUUCUUGUGUAAUGUGCCAUGGAAAAACUGAUCAGAUAAUAGAUUUUGUGAGUACCAGCUUUGUGGUAGCAUUUGGACAGCAGUAUUGACAAAGCCCAUUUCAUGAACUACCAAAGCAAAGACAGCAGUUUAUUUCUUAGAGGAAUUUUGUGUAGAUUUUCUUGGCUUUUAAAACUGGUAACUACAGGGGCUUCUCUGGCAGUCCAGUGAUUAAUACUGCGUGCCUCCAGUGUAGGGGUGCAGAGUCAAUCCCUGGUCGGGGCGCUAAUAGCCCACAUGCUGCGUGAUGCAGCCAAAAAGUAAAAACUUAAAAAAAAAGAAAAGGAUCAAAUGCACAUUCACUCUUGAACUAUAAGAAAAGUUUGUAAUUCCUUGUUAAUAAUGGUGAUUUUAAUUUAUUUCACCUUAUGUGGUCUUUUAGAUCUCUUAAGGCUUUUUUAGAGUUAGCGCUGUAAGUUUUCAGAAGGAUUAAUCCCACUUGGAAAAUUGAGUGCAUUUAAUUUGCACUGAAUGUAGGUUUCAGUUGUGAGGCUGAGAGAUGCUCAAGAAAUCCAGCAGGGCCCUGUGUGAGUUAAGUCAUGUUGGUAAUGAAAACAUUGAGAGCUCAGAGCUGUCCGGUGGAUGUUCACACUGCUGGAACAUGACAGGCAGGCCAGAUCUACUGUGAACAUUUCCCUCUUCUUGCAGUUUUUUAAAAAAGUAUUUCUUUGUUUGGCUGCGCCAGGUCUUAGCUGCAGCCCUCGGAAUCUGUAGCUGUGGCAUGUGGGAUCCUCCUCCCUGACCAGGGCUUGAACCCAGGCAGUUUUGUCAAAACAUCACCCAUCUAGUGUAGUUGGUGGCCUCUACCUUUGCAUUCUUGUUAAAGCUAAGAUGGCUGCUGGAUUUUGGUGUAAUAGUUGAUUUCCCAUCAGGAGCUUGAUAAGCUUUUGGCGUUUAUGUUAAUGGCUGGAUUCCUUUACCUGGCGAGUGUCAGAAAGUUGGAAGCCUGAGUGAAACCCCAUCAAACUCCAUUAGUGGUACUAACACUGAGGAGUGCUGGUUACCAACUCUCUGUGUUGAAUAAGUCCCAGGCACUUGACAUCUCGUCCAGUCCUCCCAGUUAAUCCUGUGAGCAGGGUAUUCUGAUGCCUGUUUUGCUGAUAAGGGAAUGAGGCUUGGGGUACAGUAACUGGUGUAGGAUCCCCAGGGUGACAAGCAGUGGGGUCUGGCUAGGCAUGCGGGCUGCCAUGCCUCUGCCCCUUGGUGGGGCUUACCUGAGUCUUUGAGGUGCUGGUGGUAGCAGACCAAGCCUGACACAGCCGCUUAGCAGUGGGGCCUGCUGGUGGAGACUGGGUUUCGUCAUUCUGUAGGUUGUUGCCUGGAUCCUGCCCCUUAAGUUUGGGUCCUAGUCAGAUUGUGGUUUAGGGACAUGUUCUUCCGACCUUGAGCAAUGACCUUCUCUGGAGCAGGAAAGCCGAGGAAGCAUCUAGUCCAGGGUGGUGGGGAUGGUAAUGGUAAGCCAAGCCGUAUCUCUGUAAUCUCUCCCAGUCAAAACAGGUAGCUUGGGAAAGGCACCGGGGCCCACGCCAGCCAUAAGGAGCGGCACAGGAAGACCACCCAUUAACACACCCAGGUGGGAGCCUUGCCCUGUCAAGGCGGGCGCAGCAUCCAAGUUGUACCAUUGCCAGCCUCUGUUGCCUGUACCCACCCCCCAGCAUGCCCCCACUCCGGUCUCCAGGCUGUUCCAGAAUAAACCUUCCCCUCCAAGGCCUGUCUGUCCCCUGAACUUAGGUCCCAGGAGCGCAAGCUGCCAGGGAGAAUCUGAUGUCAUUGCCCCGGGGACUGGGAUGGGGCUGGUGGGAACAUGACCUGACUGCUCCUCAGCAGUACCUCCUUUCACUCCUGAUGGGAUUAGCUGAAGUGGACCCUGGGAACACAGGGCACAGGAGUUCUCCUGUUAGAGUGUAACUCCUGUCGUUUUUUUAAAGGCCCAUCUCUAUCAGGCUGAGAUACCUGCUAGGGGUUGAGUGAGAGGGCCCUUUGGAAGGCAGUUUUGAGUGGCAGCUCUCAACUGCAGACAAAACCUGAUUUCAGGGUAUUUUAAGGAAAACCUUUCAAAUGAUAGAACUGUGUUAUCUGUGUUUCUAACGCAAGUACAUGAGGUACAUUGAAAGUUUUUGAAGUGUGGAUUUUGAAUUUUCAUUUGAUACAUUCUAGAACCAGAAGUCAGCUCAUCAACCUCAGAGUAUAAGUUAAUUCCUAAUUUAGAUUUUUUUUUCUCAACAUAUUCUGUUUCUGAAUGUUUUUUAGUUUUGUUUUGUCUUUUGUCUGGAUCUACCAGUGUAUAUAUGGAGGAGGAAAUGGCAACCCACUCCAGUGUUCUUGCCUGGAGAAUCCCAUGGACAGAGGAGCCUGUUGGGCUGCCGUCUAUGGGGUCGCACAGAGUCGGACACGACUGAAGCGACUUAGCAGCAGCACCAGUGUAUAUAUUUAGAAUGACCAAAACAGCUACAUCAAAUUUAAAAGCAUUUUCAAGUGAUCCUUUAAAAUUGUGUUUUCACAUUGAGUGUAAUUGGUGGUGUUCUACGUGGCUGUGGAAGGUAAGGACCAAGACCAUUGACCUGGAUGAAUAACCAAAGAGCCCUAAAAAGUAAGGCAGACAGGUAGAAAGGUAUUCGUAGACUUUGUAUUUACUAUUUUAUAUGAAUAGAUUGAAAGUCUGAAACUUCAGAUCAGGGAUUGCAGACAGCCUUGUGAGGGGCAGACACGUAUAUGUAUGAGUGGUCUAAGAGGACAGAGGGUAUACCGGGGGAGGAUCACAGCAGGGCCUGCGCACCCCACCCCCGCUGGUCAUUGACUCGUGGGACUGAGCCUGGAGUCUUCCUGCUUUCCCAGAGAACCCGAGAUCCCUGUUCUGUGUGAAAUCCCCCAAGUUUUAAAUACCAGGACCAAAUUCAGACUGUGAGACAGAUGACAUCUGCUUCCAUUCUGUGACCUUCCUUUAUGUUCUUGAGGAUACAAGAAUGUACAGGAAGAUAAUUAAACUUAAUGUUUAAUAAGACAGGAGGAAAGGAAGACAUUAUAGUUUACAGUGAAUAGUUGAAAGGAACAGUACCUAUUUCAACUAGGAGGAGGAGCCCUCCAUAUCAACUGGUUUUAGUUAUUUAAGAAAGUUCUGGGUUUGUGUGUGUGUCUGUGUAUUAAAAAUUAACAUCAGUUUUUGUUUUCAUCACGACUCUGAGCUCUUUAGAUAGCUUAUUCAUCUAAGGUGAGGAACGCUGUCUAAUUCAAAACAGAAUUAGGAAGCUUUGACAAAGCACAGAGAUUUUUUUCUUGUUUCUUUUGUUUUUUGCAUGUCUGUGACACCUUAAAUCUGAAGGGUGCUCUUUGGUCAUAGCGUAUGGUAGAAUCUUGGUAGUAAAAGCUUUGGUACCACCCAGGGUUUCACUGUUUGACUGAUUGUUUCUUCUUCUGUGCCUUGUACUGAGGCAUCUGCCAUCAGCUGGGAACUGAUCUCUGCCUGUCCUUUCUUUGGAUUUGUGUAAGGUUGCUAGACCUUUUUAAAUUAGAAACUUCAUUUGUAAAUAUUUUGAGGGAUGGGACUUUUUUUUUUUUUUUUGGUAGAUAUUUUGCUGCUUUGGGCAGUUUUCUCCCCCCAGAGCUUAACCAGCAUGUAUCAACAAGACGGCGUUCUUAAGCAUCUGACCCACAGCGCUAACCAUGCAGCCACCCUCCACGUGAAAACUACAUUCCUUUUCAGAAGAACAGAAGAGGAUUCUUGGAGUUUCACUGCCAAACAACGUGGCUCACCCUUGAGGCUUAGGAAGCUCCCAUCAGCGGUCUCAAACCCCUGCUUCGGGAAUGUCCAGCCAUCUUGUGACUGUGUGGAGGCUCAGGCUGGCCCUGACUGGGGAGCUGGGGUCUCCUGACUACAUUUCAAAGAAGGUUGCAGACGGGGGCAGAGGAAUGAAAUUCUCCAUCCUCUUCCUAAGAGCCCAAGGAUUUAGUGCAUCAGAUCUAAAGCUUUCCAGGGCGCUUUCUGGGUAUCCCUGGAUCUGAAAUGGGCAUUUCAUAUGGAGAAUGCAUAUAGCUUUCAUGGUAAAAAAAAAAAAUCCGUUAGAAAAAAAAUCAGAAUUGUUACGGGUAUAAAUGUACGGUAUGUCAUAUGUUUGACAUAAAACCCUUGUCAACCAAAGUGCCAAACGAGGUCAUCUCUCUGGGUGUGUAUGUAUGCGUGUACACACAAAGUAACAGGUGUGAUCUCAUUGCCAAUAAAACAUCUGAACACCUCCCUGA